RNAcentral lists this ribosomal RNA (1439 nucleotides) under uncultured bacterium. RNAcentral's name for it is "bacterial SSU rRNA". It matches the Rfam family "Bacterial small subunit ribosomal RNA". The record is from RNAcentral.
AGGGUUUGAUCAUGGCUCAGAACGUACGCUGGCGGCACGCCUAACACAUGCAAGUCGAACGAAGUAGCAAUACUUAGUGGCAGACGGGUGAGUAACAUGUAGGUAUCUGCCCUUUGGCCUGGAAUAACACGAGGAAACUUGUGCUAAUACCGGAUAAGUCUUUACGGAGAAAGCUUUAUGCACCAUUGGAUGAGCCUGCACUUGAUUAGUUUGUUGGUGGGGUAAUGGCCUACCAAGACUGUGAUCAAUAGCUGAUUUGAGAGGAUGAUCAGCCACAUUGGGACUGAGACACGGCCCAAACUCCUACGGGAGGCAGCAGUGGGGAAUCUUGCACAAUGGAGGAAACUCUGAUGCAGCGAUGCCGCGUGAGUGAAGAAGGCCUUUGGGUUGUAAAGCUCUUUCGUCGGGGAAGAAAAUGACUGUACCCGAAUAAGAAGGUCCGGCUAACUUCGUGCCAGCAGCCGCGGUAAUACGAAGGGACCUAGCGUAGUUCGGAAUUACUGGGCUUAAAGAGUUCGUAGGUGGUUGAAAAAGUUGGUGGUGAAAUCCCAGAGCUUAACUCUGGAACUGCCAUCAAAACUUUUCAGCUAGAGUAUGAUAGAGGAAAGCAGAAUUUCUAGUGUAGAGGUGAAAUUCGUAGAUAUUAGAAAGAAUACCAAUUGCGAAGGCAGCUUUCUGGAUCAUUACUGACACUGAGGAACGAAAGCAUGGGUAGCGAAGAGGAUUAGAUACCCUCGUAGUCCAUGCCGUAAACGAUGUGUGUUAGACGUUGGAAAUUUAUUUUCAGUGUCGCAGCGAAAGCGAUAAACACACCGCCUGGGGAGUACGACCGCAAGGUUAAAACUCAAAUGAAUUGACGGGGACCCGCACAAGUAGUGGAGCAUGUGGUUUAAUUCGAAGAUACGCGCAGAACCUUACCAACACUUGACAUGUUCGUCGCGACUUUAAGAGAUUAAAGUUUUCGGUUCGGCCGGACGAAACACAGGUGCUGCAUGGCUGUCGUCAGCUCGUGUCGUGAGAUGUUGGGUUAAGUCCCGCAACGAGCGCAACCCUCACUUUUAGUUGCCAUCAUUAAGUUGGGCACUCUGAAAGAACUGCCAGUGAUAAGCUGGAGGAAGGUGGGGAUGACGUCAAGUCCUCAUGGCCCUUACGUGUUGGGCUACACACGUGCUACAAUGGUAUCUACAACAGGAAGCAAAACUGCGAGGUUAAGCAAAUCCUUAAAAGAUACCUCAGUUCGGAUUGCACUCUGCAACUCGAGUGCAUGAAGCUGGAAUUACUAGUAAUCGUGGAUCAGCGUGCCACGGUGAAUGCGUUCCCGGGUCUUGUACACACCGCCCGUCACACCAUGGGAGUUGGUUCUACCUUAAGGCAAGGUUUUAAACCCUUGACCACGGUAUAGUCAGCGACUGGGGUGAAGUCGUAACAAGGUAACCGUA